Molecule: ribosomal RNA, 252 nt
Filed under: uncultured bacterium
Lineage: Bacteria
Description: partial 16S ribosomal RNA
Rfam family: Bacterial small subunit ribosomal RNA
Source: RNAcentral
UACGUAGGGUGCAAGCGUUAUCCGGAAUUAUUGGGCGUAAAGGGUGCGUAGGCGGUUUGGUAAGUUAGGUGGUAAAUCUUCAGGCUCAACCUGAUACUGCGCUUAAAACUGCCAGACUAGAGAAUAUCAGAGGCAAGCGGAACUUACGGUGUAGCGGUGAAAUGCGUAGAUAUCGUAAGGAACACCAGUGGCGAAGGCGGCUUGCUGGGGUAUUUCUGACGCUGAGGCACGAAAGCAUGGGUAGCAAACAGG